CCUACGGGAUGCAGCAGUGAGGAAUAUUGGUCAAUGGCCGAGAGGCUGAACCAGCCAAGUCGCGUGAGGGAAGACGGCCCUACGGGUUGUAAACCUCUUUUGUCGGGGAGCAAAGCGAGUCACGUGUGACUCAUUGAGAGUACCCGAAGAAAAAGCAUCGGCUAACUCCGUGCCAGCAGCAGCGGUAAUACGGAGGAUGCGAGCGUUGUCCGGAUUUAUUGGGUUUAAAGGGUGCGCAGGCGGCGGUGCAAGUCAGCGGUAAAAUUGCGGGGCUCAACCCCGUACUGCCGUUGACACUGCAUCCCUUGAGUGCGCGAGAAGUAUGCGGAAUGCGUGGUGUAGCGGUGAAAUGCAUAGAUAUCACGCAGAACUCCGAUUGCGAAGGCAGCAUACCGGCGCGCAACUGACGCUCAUGCACGAAAGUGUGGGUAUCGAACAGGAUUAGAUACCCCGGUAGUC
Molecule: ribosomal RNA, 459 nt
Filed under: uncultured bacterium
Lineage: Bacteria
Description: partial 16S ribosomal RNA
Rfam family: Bacterial small subunit ribosomal RNA
Source: RNAcentral